This 18-nucleotide microRNA is filed under the name Corchorus olitorius. Its description in RNAcentral is "ppy-miR-13". The record is from RNAcentral. Lineage: Eukaryota; Viridiplantae; Streptophyta; Magnoliopsida; Malvales; Malvaceae.
GCUGCUGCUGCUGAUGGU